UUCCAAAGUGUUGAGUUCAGUCCAGGGCAGCUUCCCUGUUCUGUUAAUUAAACUUUGGGACAUUAAAAUGGACCAAGGGAGAUGAUUGGAUAGGAAGUAUUAUUCUAUUCAUUUGCCUCCCAGCCUACAAAA
Small nucleolar RNA from Cercocebus atys (sooty mangabey), 132 nucleotides. The record is from Ensembl. Lineage: Eukaryota; Metazoa; Chordata; Mammalia; Primates; Cercopithecidae.